GACGAACGCUGGCGGCGUGCCUAAUACAUGCAAGUCGAACGAGAGCGACCGGUGCUUGCACUGGUCAAUCUAGUGGCGAACGGGUGAGUAACACGUGGGUAACCUGCCCAUCAGAGGGGGAUAACAUCCGGAAACGGAUGCUAAAACCGCAUAGGUCUUCGAACCGCAUGGUUUGAAGAGGAAAAGAGGCGCAAGCUUCUGCUGAUGGAUGGACCCGCGGUGCAUUAGCUAGUUGGUGAGGUAACGGCUCACCAAGGCCGUGAUGCAUAGCCGACCUGAGAGGGUGAUCGGCCACAUUGGGACUGAGACACGGCCCAAACUCCUACGGGAGGCAGCAGUAGGGAAUCUUCCGCAAUGGACGCAAGUCUGACGGAGCAACGCCGCGUGAGUGAAGAAGGUUUUCGGAUCGUAAAACUCUGUUGUUAGAGAAGAACAAGUGCUAGAGUAACUGUUAGCGCCUUGACGGCAUCUAACCAGAAAGCCACGGCUAACUACGUG
This 498-nucleotide ribosomal RNA is filed under the name uncultured bacterium. RNAcentral describes it as "partial 16S ribosomal RNA". It matches the Rfam family "Bacterial small subunit ribosomal RNA", at positions 28 to 507 of the family's 1533-position model. The record is from RNAcentral.